GCGCCUGUAGCUCAGGUGGAUAGAGCAGCGGUUUCCUAAACCGCGGGCCGCGGGUUCGAGUCCUGCCAGGCGCGCCA
RNAcentral lists this transfer RNA (77 nucleotides) under bacterium. Its description in RNAcentral is "tRNA-Arg". It matches the Rfam family "tRNA". Rfam says of the family: Transfer RNA (tRNA) molecules are approximately 80 nucleotides in length. Their secondary structure includes four short double-helical elements and three loops (D, anti-codon, and T loops). The record is from RNAcentral.